This 551-nucleotide ribosomal RNA is filed under the name uncultured Glomeromycotina. Its description in RNAcentral is "SSU rRNA". It matches the Rfam family "Eukaryotic small subunit ribosomal RNA", at positions 548 to 1098 of the family's 1831-position model. The record is from RNAcentral. Lineage: Eukaryota; Fungi; Glomeromycota.
UUGGAGGGCAAGUCUGGUGCCAGCAGCCGCGGUAAUUCCAGCUCCAAUAGCGUAUAUUAAAGUUGUUGCAGUUAAAAAGCUCGUAGUUGAAUUUCGGAGUUUGUCGGUUGGUCGGGCUUCAUUGCCCGCACUGGCCUGAUGGAUUCCUACCUUCUGAAUAACCAGCAUGCUAUUAAGUUAGUGCGUUGGGGAAGCAGAGCUAUUACCUUGAAAAAAUUAGAGUGCUUAAAGCAGGCUUAUGCUUGAAUAGAUUAGCAUGGAAUAAUAAAAUAGGACGGCAUGGUUCUAUUUUGUUGGUUUCUAGGAUCACCGUAAUGAUUAAUAGGGAUAGUUGGGGGCAUUAGUAUUCAAUUGUCAGAGGUGAAAUUCUUGGAUUUAUUGAAGACUAACUUCUGCGAAAGCAUUUGCCAAGGAUGUUUUCAUUAAUCAAGAACGAAAGUUAGGGGAUCGAAGACGAUCAGAUACCGUCGUAGUCUUAACCAUAAACUAUGCCGACUAGGGAUCGGACGAUGUUAAUUUUUUAAUGACUCGUUCGGCGCCUUACGGGAAAC